GGGGCCUCACCGGGCAUCCUCUCCGAGUGCCACCACCUGGACAGAGCCGCUAGCGCCAUCUGGGGCAACCCUCUCCAGCCAGGGGAGCACCUCCGCCCUGCAUGCCCGCUGGAAGGAGGCCACGGGAGCCGGGUACGUGGCAGCGUUGUACUCCCUGGAGCCCCCUGCGCUGGUGGAGAACAGCUCCGUGCCGGGAGGCGUCACCCACCUCACCUACAAGGGGCUGAGCCCGGGGACCCACUACGCCGUCGAGAUCAGCACAGUGGCUGGGCCUUACGCCUCCCCGCCCCUGCGCGUCACCAACUGGACGUAUCCUUCCCCAGUGGAAGAACUGAACCUCCUCAACCAAGGCUGCAGCACCUCCUUGCUCGCCUCCUGGAAAGCAGCCGGCGGCAGGGUGAAUUACACCGGCGUGCUCCUCGAAGCCCAGUCGCAGGCGUGGGUCAGAAACGUGAGCGUGGGGGGGAGCUGCGCGAACGUCACCGUGGAGGGGCUGAGCCCCGGGCGUCAGUAUACCCUGCAGAUGGGGGCGGUGGCCGGACCUUG
Pelodiscus sinensis (Chinese soft-shelled turtle) is the source of this 546-nucleotide non-coding RNA. The record is from RefSeq and is a predicted model, not a curated record. NCBI's taxonomy places the organism in Eukaryota, Metazoa, Chordata, Testudines, Trionychidae.